RNAcentral lists this ribosomal RNA (730 nucleotides) under Peribacillus simplex. Its description in RNAcentral is "Bacillus simplex partial 16S ribosomal RNA". The record is from RNAcentral. Lineage: Bacteria; Bacillati; Bacillota; Bacilli; Caryophanales; Bacillaceae.
CACGCUUCGCGCCUCAGUGUCAGUUACAGACCAGAAAGUCGCCUUCGCCACUGGUGUNCCUCCAAAUCUCUACGCAUUUCACCGCUACACUUGGAAUUCCACUUUCCUCUUCUGCACUCAAGUUCCCCAGUUUCCAAUGANCCUCCACGGUUGAGCCGUGGGCUUUCACAUCAGACUUAAGGAACCACCNGCGCGCGCUUUACGCCCAAUAAUUCCGGACAACGCUUGCCACCUACGUAUUACCGCGGCUGCUGGCACGUAGUUAGCCGUGGCUUUCUGGUUAGGUACCGUCAAGGUACCAGCAGUUACUCUGGUACUUGUUCUUCCCUAACAACAGAACUUUACGACCCGAAGGCCUUCUUCGUUCACGCGGCGUUGCUCCGUCAGACUUUCGUCCAUUGCGGAAGAUUCCCUACUGCUGCCUCCCGUAGGAGUCUGGGCCGUGUCUCAGUCCCAGUGUGGCCGAUCACCCUCUCAGGUCGGNUACGCAUCGUCGCCUUGGUGAGCCAUUACCUCACCAACUAGCUAAUGCGCCGCGGGCCCAUCUAUAAGUGACAGCGUAAACCGUCUUUCCAUCUUCUCUCAUGCGAGAAAAGAACGUAUCCGGUAUUAGCUCCGGUUUCCCGAAGUUAUCCCAGUCUUAUAGGCAGGUUGCCCACGUGUUACUCACCCGUCCGCCGCUAAUCUCAGGGAGCAAGCUCCCGUCGAUUCGCUCGACUUGCAGUAUAGC